UAUUUUGGUCCUAGAUAUGCUGUUAUUUAUGGCUAGAAAUAUACAUGCCAGCCUCCGCACCCCAGUGAAAACGCCCACACAUGGUUGCCCCACAUGUGGAGCAGGUAUCAGGCACGAAUUUAAGUACCAGCCCAAAACACCUAGCUCUGCCACACCCCCACUGGGCCCCAGCAGUAAAAAACACUAAGCACAUAAGCCAAACGCUUGACUUGGUAAUAGCCAUUACGGGCCGGUAAACCACGUGCCAGCCACCGCGGUUACACGUGGGGCCCAAAACAACAAACAACGGCGUAAAGGGUGACUAAAGAAAAAGUUUAUUAUUGGGCCUAGAAACUAUAAUAUAGCUGUAAAAUGCCAUGUGCUAUUAGUAAAAACCAUGGGCCUAAACAUAACAAUCUUGACUCACGAAAACUAAGACCCAAACUAGGAUUAGAUACCCUACUAUGCUUAGUCGUAAACCAGCAAUCUUCCACGCUCGCCAGAAAAUUACAAGCAACCGGCUUAAAAUUCAAAAGACUUGACAGUAUUUCAUAUCAACCUAGAGGAGCCUGUCCUAAAAUCGAUAACCCACGAUCAACCUCACCCGCCUUUGCAAUAACAGCCUAUAUACCUCCGUCGCCAGCCCGCCUGAAAACAGAAAAAUAGCGAGUGCAACAACUAAUCGUUAAUACGACAGGUCACGGUGUAGCUUAUACGCGGGGCAGAGAUGGGCUACAUUUCUUAAUAUAAUAAAUACCUACCCCGCCAUGAAAUCUGCGGAACAAGGUGGAUUUAGCAGUAAGUUAGGCAAGAAAGCCUAUCUGAAGCGCGCUCUGAAAUGUGC
This 823-nucleotide non-coding RNA is filed under the name Uroplatus henkeli. The record is from RNAcentral. Lineage: Eukaryota; Metazoa; Chordata; Lepidosauria; Squamata; Gekkonidae.